Molecule: ribosomal RNA, 948 nt
Filed under: Triticum aestivum (bread wheat)
Lineage: Eukaryota; Viridiplantae; Streptophyta; Magnoliopsida; Poales; Poaceae
Description: partial small subunit ribosomal RNA
Source: RNAcentral
AUGCAGAUCUUCAUCAAGACGCCGACGGGGAAGACCACCACCCUGAAGGUCGAGAGCAGCUACACCGUCGACGAUGUCAAGUCCAAGAUCCAAGAUAAGGAAAGUAAUACCGUGCGUCGUCCAUGCCCAACCACCACCCUGGAGGUCGAGAGCAGCCACACCGUCGACGAUGUCAAGUCCAAGAUCCAAGACAAGGAAGGAAUCUCGCCGGACCAGCAGCGUCUCGUCUACGCGGGGAAGCAGCUGCCGGACGGCCGUACCUUGGCCGACCACGGUGUCCACAAGGAGUCCACGAUCCACCUCGUGCUACGCCUCGGCGGAGGCUGGUGCUUCUACAAGAAACACCCUGCCGGGCCACAGCUACCGCCGGCGCCCGCGCCGCAGCAGCACGAGGAGCAAGAGCGGGAGAUCGGCGCUGCUGCGCCUGAGCCCGUCGUCCAGUACACGCCGCCGGAGCCGCUGAUGCCGUCCCCGCCCUCGGUCAACGGCGCCAAUGUCAGUGCCAGCACCAGCAGCGUCUGGGCCACGUCGCAGAGCCUCCUCGGCAGCAUGUUCGCGCCGUCUUCCGUGGCCCAGGCGCCGCAGUACCCGGAGUGCGCACUGGCCGCCAAGCCCCCGUUGCUGUGCCUCGCGACCGACGCCGCGUCCGCCCAGUUCUCGGCCCCCGCGGCUGACAGGCAGCAGCAGCUCCCGCCGCCGUCGCCGUCCCCGUCCGCGCACAUAAUCCGCCAUGGCGCUGCUUCAGAAGGCGGUGCAGAUGGGCGCCACCUCGUCGAGCUCCUCGUUCCUGCGUGGGCUGGGCCUGGACAUCUCGUCGUCGUCGUCGUCGGCGUCGACGUCGUCAGGUGCUAUGCUCGGCUGCCUCUUAGAGCUACAAACUGCCGCAAGAAAAAGUGUGGCCACACCAACCAGUUGAGGCCAAAGAAGAACAAGUACAGGAGGUACUAA